UGUGUGUGUGUGUCAAGGUGUGUGUGUGUGUGUGUGUGUGUGUGUGUGUGUGUGUGUGUGUGUGUGUGUGUGUGUGUGUGUGUGUGUGUAUGUCAAGGUGUGUGUGUGUCAGGGUGUGUGUGUGUGUAUGUCAAGGUGUAUGUGUGUCAGGGUGUGUGUGUGUCAAGGUGUGUGUGUGUCAGGGUGUGUGUGUGUCAAUGUGUGUGUGUGUCAGGGUGUAUGUGUGUCAGGGUGUGUAUGUGUGUGUCUCUAUGAAGGGUUUCUAACAUGGAUGUGGUGGGGAACACUAAGGUCUGUCAUGUCACCAUGGUGAGGGUCACAGAGGGUCAGGAAGGUCAGCCUGACAUAGUGGAACUCUCUCUACACCAAUCACAACGCAGGACACACGGGGGGAGGCGACGUUUUCAGGACAGCUCCUGGACCUGUAGAGCAAGGAGACAACAUGAGGUUAGACACACGGGGGGAGACGACAGGACAGCUCCUGGACCUGUAGAGCAAGG
This is a long non-coding RNA of Oncorhynchus tshawytscha (Chinook salmon), 500 nucleotides long. The record is from Ensembl. Lineage: Eukaryota; Metazoa; Chordata; Actinopteri; Salmoniformes; Salmonidae.